RNAcentral lists this ribosomal RNA (468 nucleotides) under uncultured bacterium. Its description in RNAcentral is "partial 16S ribosomal RNA". It matches the Rfam family "Bacterial small subunit ribosomal RNA", at positions 28 to 507 of the family's 1533-position model. The record is from RNAcentral.
GACGAACGCUGGCGGCGUGCUUAACACAUGCAAGUCGAACGGAAAGGCCCUGCUUUUGUGGGGUGCUCGAGUGGCGAACGGGUGAGUAACACGUGAGUAACCUGCCCUUGACUUUGGGAUAACUUCAGGAAACUGGGGCUAAUACCGGAUAGGAGCUCCUGCUGCAUGGUGGGGGUUGGAAAGUUUCGGCGGUUGGGGAUGGAUUCGCGGCUUAUCAGCUUGUUGGUGGGGUAGUGGCUUACCAAGGCUUUGACGGGUAGCCGGCCUGAGAGGGUGACCGGCCACAUUGGGACGGAGAUGCGGCCCAGACUCCUACGGGAGGCAGCAGUGGGGAAUAGUGCACAAUGGGCGGAAGCCUGAUGCAGCAACGCCGCGUGCGGGGUGACGGCCUUCGGGUUGUGAACCGCUUUCGCCUGUGACGAGGCGUGAGUGACGGUAAUGGGUAAAGAAGCACCGGCUAACUACGUG